RNAcentral lists this ribosomal RNA (253 nucleotides) under uncultured bacterium. Its description in RNAcentral is "partial 16S ribosomal RNA". It matches the Rfam family "Bacterial small subunit ribosomal RNA", at positions 524 to 776 of the family's 1533-position model. The record is from RNAcentral.
UACGUAGGGUGCAAGCGUUAAUCGGAAUUACUGGGCGUAAAGCGUGCGCAGGCGGUUAUGUAAGACAGAUGUGAAAUGCCCGGGCUUAACCUGGGAACUGCAUUUGUGACUGCAUGGCUAGAAUCUGGCAGAGGGGGGUAGAAUUCCGCGUGUAGCAGUGAAAUGCGUAGAUAUGUGGAGGAACACCGAUGGCGAAGGCAGCCCCCUGGGUCAAGAUUGACGCUCAUGCACGAAAGCGUGGGGAGCAAACAGG